UCGCCAUAAAAUGAACACUAAAAUUCCCAGCUCUCUUCUGCUACAAAUGGAAAUUAGCAGAGAAAAAUGAGUUUAAUCUAGUCGAUCAAGGUGUAUAUAAGAGAAUUCAAGGCCUGAAGCACCCGAUCUCCCGGCGUUCAAUGGGCGGAUUCAAGACUCCUCUGGCCGAACGGGCUGAAUCCGGCAAGCCUUAUCAGGGGAUGCAGGUUACUGACAGUAAAGUACAGCAAGCAGAGAAGAAGACUGCAGUAGCCAUUGAUAAUAAAAUCAAGCACAGGGAAAAUGAGAAGGUUGAGAUUCUCAAACACAUCAUCUGGAGAGGAAGAAGAGGAGAAAAGAGUUUUCUGGUUAAGAACCAAAAGUUUUGGCCUAAAUUUGGGGUUGACUUGUAGUAUGCUGUGCAGGAAGAAAGUGAAGUAAUGAAGUUUCUGGGUUUUUGAUCUGCUGUUUUGGGUGCAUGAGAAGUGAGGAAGAAUAAUUGGAUAUGAGGUUGGUAUAUAUAGAGAUGGUAAAGUAAACAAUCAGUAAGCCAUUGUACAUAUUACUGAUGUUAUAUUGUUAUCAAUUAUUAUAUGGUUACUGUCAUUAAUGAUAUUAAUAUUUGAUUUGCCACUGAAAACAUAUGAUACAUAGAUGUAAUUAUAUGUAAAAAAGUAUAUAUAUUUAUAUAUACAUUCAUCGGAAAGAAGUGCCUUUGAUAUAUUCUAAUGGAACUUUUAAAUAUUCCA
Carica papaya (papaya) is the source of this 728-nucleotide non-coding RNA. Lineage: Eukaryota; Viridiplantae; Streptophyta; Magnoliopsida; Brassicales; Caricaceae. The record is from RefSeq and is a predicted model, not a curated record.